Molecule: ribosomal RNA, 356 nt
Filed under: Microdochium bolleyi
Lineage: Eukaryota; Fungi; Ascomycota; Sordariomycetes; Xylariales; Microdochiaceae
Description: SSU rRNA
Rfam family: Eukaryotic small subunit ribosomal RNA
Source: RNAcentral
ACUGCGAAUGGCUCAUUAAAUCAGUUAUCGUUUAUUUGAUAGUACCUUACUACUUGGAUAACCGUGGUAAUUCUAGAGCUAAUACAUGCUAAAAACCCCGACUCACGAAGGGGUGUAUUUAUUAGAUUAAAAACCAAUGCCCUUCGGGGCUCUCUGGUGAUUCAUAAUAACUUCUCGAAUCGCAUGGCCUUGUGCCGGCGAUGGUUCAUUCAAAUUUCUGCCCUAUCAACUUUCGAUGGCAGGGUCUUGGCCUGCCAUGGUUACAACGGGUAACGGAGGGUUAGGGCUCGACCCCGGAGAAGGAGCCUGAGAAACGGCUACUACAUCCAAGGAAGGCAGCAGGCGCGCAAAUUACC